This 459-nucleotide ribosomal RNA is filed under the name uncultured bacterium. RNAcentral's name for it is "partial 16S ribosomal RNA". It matches the Rfam family "Bacterial small subunit ribosomal RNA", at positions 338 to 795 of the family's 1533-position model. The record is from RNAcentral.
CCUACGGGAGGCAGCAGUGAGGAAUAUUGGUCAAUGGUCGGGAGACUGAACCAGCCAAGCCGCGUGAGGGAGGAAGGUACAGAGUAUCGUAAACCUCUUUUGUCAGGGAACAAAGGCGGGGACGUGUCCCCGGAUGAGUGUACCUGAAGAAAAAGCAUCGGCUAACUCCGUGCCAGCAGCCGCGGUAAUACGGGGGAUGCGAGCGUUAUCCGGAUUUAUUGGGUUUAAAGGGUGCGCAGGCGGUCUGUUCAGUCAGCGGUCAAACCCCGGGGCUCAACCCCGGCCCGCCGUUGAAACUGGCAGUCUCGAGUGGGAGAGAAGUAGGCGGAAUGCGCGGUGUAGCGGUGAAAUGCAUAGAUAUCGCGCAGAACUCCGAUUGCGAAGGCAGCAUGCCGGCUCCACACUGACGCUGAGGCACGAAAGCGUGGGUAUCGAACAGGAUUAGAUACCCUUGUAGUC